Molecule: transfer RNA, 72 nt
Filed under: Ktedonobacteraceae bacterium
Lineage: Bacteria; Bacillati; Chloroflexota; Ktedonobacteria; Ktedonobacterales; Ktedonobacteraceae
Description: tRNA-Lys
Rfam family: tRNA
About the family: Transfer RNA (tRNA) molecules are approximately 80 nucleotides in length. Their secondary structure includes four short double-helical elements and three loops (D, anti-codon, and T loops).
Source: RNAcentral
GUCGGCGUAGCUCAGUGGUAGAGCAAUCGACUUUUAAUCGAUUGGCCGGGGGUUCGAGUCCCCCCGCCGACA